CACCCCCGGGUGCGAGCCGAUCGCCAUGUUUCAAGGGCAGCGGGGUUGGUUCUGUGGCAGCGUCGGCCGAGAACUGAGGCAGUUCUGGGUGGCCGAAGGGGGCUCCAUCAGUGACCCAAGGGACGCCGACUUCUUGUUCAGCUGUGAUGCCUCCCACCCAGACACGCUGAGAAUAUAUCAGAGCCUUGAUUACAUAGAAGAUAAUGCUACAGUUUUUCACGCCUACUAUCUCUCUGCAGUAGCUAAUGCUGAAAUGAAAAACUCGGUGGCUUUAGGUCAUUUCAUUCUUCCUCCUGCAUGCUUGCAAGAAGAAAUAAGAAGAAAAGUUGGUAGUUUUAUUUGGGAGCAAGACCAACAUAUUCAGAGAGAGAAGCAUGAUGAAGUAAUACCAAAUGAAAUAAAAGCCCUUAGGGAAAGCAGUGAACUAGCAACAGAUCAAGAAAAAGAAUUAACCAAAAGCACAGAAAAGCAUUUUAUAAGGACUCCAGUUACAGAAAAGCAGAUGUACUUCCCUCUUCAGAAUUAUCCUGUGAACAACAUGGUAACAGGUUAUAUAUCAAUUGAUGCCAUGAAGAAAUUCCUUGGGGAGCUACGUGACUUUAUUCCUGGAAGCUCAGGAUAUUUGGCAUACCAUGUUCAAAAUGAAAUUAACAUGUCUGCUAUAAAAAACAAAUUGAAGAGAAAAUGUUAAGUUAAAUUUUCUUUAUAUCUAGGCAUUUAUUUUUUCUGAAAUUUUACCAAAGAUGUGCAUAAUUUUACAUUCUCCCCUUUGGGAGAGGGGAACGGGGAAAUGGGAGAAUUCUGUUUCUUUCUCAAAAUGUGUCUUCCGGAAUUUCAGAGUCAUUCUUGCUCCAUGAUUUGACAUUUGAGCUGGAUUUUUUCCCCCAGCUUGUAAUGUUAUGUCCACAAAUCCUGAGUAUGCAGUUGUUAUGGAGUAAUUGUCUUUAAAACACUUCAUAAGAAGUCUCAGUCCGUCAGAUGGUCUUUUGGCUUUAACAUUCUAUUAAUUAUUGUUUUUCUAGGUUCAGCGCUGUGAGUACUAAGUUUAAUGAUUCUGGUCAUCUUAUUUUGAUUUUAAAAAAUUAAAAUGUUAUGGUUGAGUUCUAAAUCAUUGUUUCUAUCUUGAGAAAUAUGGAGAAAAACGUUUUAAUGAUGCAGACUUCAUGUGUGGACAGUUCCUGAUAACAUAUACCAGAAGUGAUUUAAUGUAUACAAUACUGUAUCAUCUGAAAUAGGCCCUCACGUCACCUUAGAAUCACAGUGCUGGAAAGAACCUUAGAGAACAAUGAGGAAGAAGGCCUUGAAAGUGUGUCCUGCCUAGAGUGACUAACUAGGGGCCAAAUAAGGACUAGAACAUGACUGUUUCAAAUGUAACUGACAGCAGAUCUGCAAAGCCAAAACCAGCCAACAUGUUGGCUUAUUUUUUAAAUAAUGAUUUCAAGACAGCAACUUCUUAUCUUUAUAUAUAUGGUCAUACUAUAUAGAAUCUGGUGGAUUUAUUACUUUAUAUAUAUGAUAUAUUUUUUGUGAGGCUAUCAUCUUUUUAAAACUGUACUUUCUCCUAGGAAGUGCAUACCAGCUGCAGAAUUAUCUAAAGAAAAUGCACUUUUUAAAAUGGUGGGAGGGGUGCCU
This is an RNA transcript of Mustela erminea (ermine), 1632 nucleotides long. It is a transcript of the gene named telomere repeat binding bouquet formation protein 2, with no coding region annotated. The transcript is spliced from 8 exons. The record is from RefSeq and is a predicted model, not a curated record. Lineage: Eukaryota; Metazoa; Chordata; Mammalia; Carnivora; Mustelidae.